GACGAACGCUGGCGGCGUGCUUAACACAUGCAAGUCGAACGGAAAGGCCCUGCUUUUUUGGGGUGCUCGAGUGGCGAACGGGUGAGUAACACGUGAGUAACCUGCCCUUGACUUUGGGAUAACUUCAGGAAACUGGGGCUAAUACCGGAUAGGAGCUCCUGCUGCAUGGUGGGGGUUGGAAAGUUUCGGCGGCUGGGGAUGGACUCGCGGCUUAUCAGCUUGUUGGUGGGGUAGUGGCUUACCAAGGCUUUGACGGGUAGCCGGCCUGAGAGGGUGACCGGCCACAUUGGGACUGAGAUACGGCCCAGACUCCUACGGGAGGCAGCAGUGGGGAAUAUUGCACAAUGGGCGGAAGCCUGAUGCAGCAACGCCGCGUGCGGGAUGACGGCCUUCGGGUUGUAAACCGCUUUCGCCUGUGACGAAGCGUGAGUGACGGUAAUGGGUAAAGAAGCACCGGCUAACUACGUG
This 468-nucleotide ribosomal RNA is filed under the name uncultured bacterium. Its description in RNAcentral is "partial 16S ribosomal RNA". It matches the Rfam family "Bacterial small subunit ribosomal RNA", at positions 28 to 507 of the family's 1533-position model. The record is from RNAcentral.